Molecule: transfer RNA, 76 nt
Filed under: candidate division CPR2 bacterium GWD1_39_7
Lineage: Bacteria; candidate division CPR2
Also listed under: 2 other names
Description: tRNA-Arg
Rfam family: tRNA
About the family: Transfer RNA (tRNA) molecules are approximately 80 nucleotides in length. Their secondary structure includes four short double-helical elements and three loops (D, anti-codon, and T loops). Further hydrogen bonds mediate the characteristic L-shaped molecular structure. tRNAs have two regions of fundamental functional importance: the anti-codon, which is responsible for specific mRNA codon recognition, and the 3' end, to which the tRNAs corresponding amino acid is attached (by aminoacyl-tRNA synthetases). tRNAs cope with the degeneracy of the genetic code in two manners: having more than one tRNA (with a specific anti-codon) for a particular amino acid; and 'wobble' base-pairing, i.e. permitting non-standard base-pairing at the 3rd anti-codon position.
Source: RNAcentral
GCCCCUGUAGCUCAGUGGAUAGAGCGCCAGCUUGCGGAGCUGAAGGUCGCCCGUUCGAGUCGGGCCAGGGGUACCA